CCUACGGGAGGCAGCAGUGAGGAAUAUUGGUCAAUGGGCGGGAGCCUGAACCAGCCAAGUCGCGUGAGGGAAGACGGUCCUAUGGAUUGUAAACCUCUUUAGGCGGGGAGCAAUGCCGGGCACGUGUGCCCGGAGGGAGAGUACCCGCAGAAUAAGCAACGGCUAACUCCGUGCCAGCAGCCGCGGUAAUACGGAGGAUGCGAGCGUUAUCCGGAUUGAUUGGGGUUAAAGGGUGCGUAGGCGGAUUUUUAAGUCAGCGGUAAAAUGUCCGGGCUCAACCCGGGCCGGCCGUUGAAACUGGGGAUCUUGAGUGGGCGAGAAGUAUGCGGAAUGCGUGGUGUAGCGGUGAAAUGCAUAGAUAUCACGCAGAACUCCGAUUGCGAAGGCAGCAUACCGGCGCCCGACUGACGCUGAGGCACGAAAGCGUGGGGAUCGAACAGGAUUAGAUACCCUUGUAUC
RNAcentral lists this ribosomal RNA (459 nucleotides) under uncultured bacterium. Its description in RNAcentral is "partial 16S ribosomal RNA". It matches the Rfam family "Bacterial small subunit ribosomal RNA", at positions 338 to 795 of the family's 1533-position model. The record is from RNAcentral.